GACGAACGCUGGCGGCGUGCUUAACACAUGCAAGUCGUACGGUAAGGCCCUUUCGGGGGUACACGAGUGGCGAACGGGUGAGUAACACGUGAGUAACCUGCCCACAACUUUGGGAUAACGCUAGGAAACUGGUGCUAAUACUGGAUAUGUGCUCCUGCUGCAUGGUGGGGGUUGGAAAGCUCCGGCGGUUGUGGAUGGACUCGCGGCCUAUCAGCUUGUUGGUGGGGUAGUGGCCUACCAAGGCGGCGACGGGUAGCCGGCCUGAGAUGGUGACCGGCCACAUUGGGACUGAGAUACGGCCCAGACUCCUACGGGAGGCAGCAGUGGGGAAUAUUGCACAAUGGGCGCAAGCCUGAUGCAGCAACGCCGCGUGCGGGAUGACGGCCUUCGGGUUGUAAACCGCUUUCAGCAGGGACGAAGCUUUUUGUGACGGUACCUGCAGAAGAAGCACCGGCUAACUACGUG
Molecule: ribosomal RNA, 465 nt
Filed under: uncultured bacterium
Lineage: Bacteria
Description: partial 16S ribosomal RNA
Rfam family: Bacterial small subunit ribosomal RNA
Source: RNAcentral